GACGGACGCUGGCGGCGUGCUUAACACAUGCAAGUCGAGCGGAAAGGCCCUUCGGGGUACUCGAGCGGCGAACGGGUGAGUAACACGUGAGUAACCUGCCCCAGACUUUGGGAUAACCCUCGGAAACGGGGGCUAAUACCGGAUACGACACAGCUUCGCAUGGGGUCUGUGUGGAAAGUUUUUCGGUUUGGGAUGGGCUCGCGGCCUAUCAGCUUGUUGGUGGGGUGAUGGCCUACUAAGGCGACGCCGGGUAGCCGGCCUGUGAGGGCGACCGGCCACACUGGGACUGAGACACGGCCCAGACUCCUACGGGAGGCAGCAGUGGGGAAUAUUGCACAAUGGGCGGAAGCCUGAUGCAGCGACGCCGCGUGAGGGAUGACGGCCUUCGGGUUGUAAACCUCUUUCAGCAGGGACGAAGCGUAAGUGACGGUACCUGCAGAAGAAGCGCCGGCCAACUACGUG
RNAcentral lists this ribosomal RNA (462 nucleotides) under uncultured bacterium. RNAcentral's name for it is "partial 16S ribosomal RNA". It matches the Rfam family "Bacterial small subunit ribosomal RNA", at positions 28 to 507 of the family's 1533-position model. The record is from RNAcentral.